GGGGGAUUUCUGAUGUAAGGUGACCUCAAGAAAGGAGUCAACUAGGACAGGGGUUAGAUGAGGAGAGGAAAUAGCCCACGUAGGGAACUAGGCCAGGAAAGAAGACUUGUUUAUCCCCAUGUUUAUCCCCAUGUAAGGAAUUAGGUGAGAGAGGAAGCUGUUUGGGUCCCAUGCUCGAUAAUGAGGAGAAGAGUGAGCUGGGAGAGUCACUCUCCCCCUCCCGUUAGAAUGUUCUUUUCAGAGAAGGAGUCAGGUCGGGAUGACCUGAUAGGGAAAUGUUGCUCGAGUGAGACCACGGGUUGUGCAAGAGGGACCACGGGUUGUGUAAGGACAGCCAAUUGAGGGAGGACAUCUGUUUAUCUUGAACAAACUGUGUGUUGUCUGAUAAUGGCCAAACAUAUUUGUGUGACGUAAUAAGACUGUAUAAAAGCUCUAGUCUGUCAAUGCAUGGUAGACUUCCCUGGCUAGAGAAGUUCUGCGCGUGAUUUCCAAUCUGCCUGGCAACAAUAAAGACAAAGACCUUUGCAAUCAAUCUCCUGACUCCAAGCCUGUUAAUUCUUGCUUCACUAAGAACCACUUUCGAGACCCCAACAAUUGGUGACUACCGACGUGAUUCGCUACAUCUACAUUUGAGAAGAUCUGCCUGUUCCAUCCCAAACGCAUCAUGAGUGUGCCAAAGAGACCGGUAGAGGGAGGAGCCAGAGCUGUCCUGUCGCCUGACCAGACCGUGCCAGCUGCUCCUCUGCGCGUGACCGCCCAGGAGGUGCUCAGCCUCAAAUUCCCUCUUCUCCGAGAACGCCUCGUCGAGAUGAACAGGAAAUGGGCCAAGCGCACUGCCAAGAUGACAACAGUCUGGCCAGAGCACGGGACUUUCGAUCUAAGCCUCUGCGACGACAUGAGGGUCCUGAUCGCCAACCACAGCCAUUCUGGUUCGGCCAAGAAAAAACUCAAAAAACGCAAUGAGGAAGCUGAGUGUCUGAAGCUGUAUGAAGAACAAGGACAGAACUAUCGUGAUACGGCUAAGGCUUGCUUGCUCGCAGCCAAGACCGAUCAUGAGACUCUAGAGAGGGCCUCCCCUCCCCCAUACGCUAAAGAGAAGAGCGGCUCUGCCCCACCCAGAAAGUCAGGGAAGGCUAGUCUGUAUCAAGGAGCCUCCUGUAUACCAUCAAGCACCCAUCCUGGUCAGGGGAACUCAGUUGAAUUAUGUGCCCUGGACAACAAUGGACAUGACUGGUUUAAUUGCUCGGCUCCCCAAUCCAUAUGAGGGAGCGAGUAGGUGGAUUAAGGCGUUCGAGCAAGAGACACUAGGCCACAACAUAGCUAUCGGAGACAUCAAAAUGAUCCUGGGGCGCACCCUGGGGGCUGGAGGCUUGAGUGACGUCAUGCAUUCUCAGCAUCUGGCCGAGAUCCUAGACACUCAUGCGGGGGACGGAGACCUUUUCAAUGCAAUCCGCACAGAAGUCUGGGAAAGCCUGAGAACCCUCUUUCCGGAUCGGGUGAGGCUGGACAUGCUCACUGGGGAGACAAUUGAGUUAUCUGAGCCACCAAUGGCAUUUAUUCACAAAACUUUGGGGAAAUGGAGAGCUGAACUAGGGAAAAAUCCAGAAGACGAGGUCCUGCAACAAGCAAUGUUUCGACAAGGGGUCGUCCGAGGCCUGACAGAGACUGUUCAGGGGCGGUUGGCAGAUGUAGUGGGUCUCUAUUCCAUGCCUUUUGCCCAGUUUUGCGAACACAUCACCCAUGCCGUGUUAAAAGAAAGGAACAAUGAAAACAAAAGGCUGCAGAGUGACCGAGAGAAUGCGCGGAAGCUGAACAAACUCCAACUCAGGUCCGGCCUACAAGCAGGACUCGUCGCUCCCCCUGCUGCCUACAGUCAAAACAGACAGUGGGGGAGCGAGUCAGAAGGGCUGGCGCUGGGCCUAGUUUCCCAGUAGCCGUGGCCCUUCGAGAGAUGACGUAAGAAGCAGGAGUCACCUCUCUACAGGCCAAACUGAAAGGGACUGAGGGGGGGAGAAAGCAUUAACGGAUAUCAAACUGAGUCUACAACAGGCACCAGCUCUGGCCCUUCCGAACUACGAGAAACCCAUCUUCCUGUAUGUAUCCAAUCAUAAUUUACACACACCACAUAAUUGCGAAUCUUGUUGAACAGGGUAAAUUUCGGUUGACAGAGGCACGAAAUUAGGAGAUUUAAAGAAGAGGUAAAAAUAUUAUGAAAUAUGUGAAGGAGUAUGAAGAAUUUGGGUUGUCACUGACUAACAUAUUUUUUCUAUCCCUUAGGAAUUGCAUAGAUAUGAACUGUGCGAUGGGGGGAAGGGGGAUAGGAAAAAUUUGGACUAUGGUCUCAGAGACAGAGGCAAUUUUAAAUUGAUAAUUUAGUUGAUAAACAAGUAAAGCACACCCUAAGUAGUAACAUUUAUAAUUUUGAUAGUCUAACCUUAGACUAUGGUGAAGUUUUGUUAAAGAUGUUUUGUAGGAACUAGGGGAGGAGAAGGAGGAGAGGACGAGCCUCGGAGAAACCAAUCAGCAUCCAGCCUGGUGGUCGAGUCUCCAGUAAAGGCGACCGGGGGAAAAGUCAACACCCCGUGUAGAGACACUGCCUGAACACAGGGUCACGAGCAACGAUGACCACAACACAGUUUGAAGGGUCAACCAUGUGGUCCAUCUGGAAGCACCGUUAUAAAUCCCACAUCAAACUUGGUCACACCUAUAACAACUAUUGACUCUGAUUUCCCUGAUACAGUACAGGACAGUGCUCUCCUAAAGGCAAAGCACACGAAUGACGUUGGUUAACUCUCAGCCUCCAACUGGGCCUGAGACUGAGGAUUGAGAGCUUCCUGCUCGUGCCUCAGAAGUCAAGGGUGUGCCUAAGAUCAAGGACCAAAUCCAGGGCUCGAAGUUACCAAGCCACCCUGGACAACGGCGAACAGUCACUCAACCCCUGCUCCCUGUUGAGGGAUCAGAAAAUGAAACUCAGCCGCCGAAUAACAACAAACCCUUCCUGGUUGCGUUCCAACUGGGAAGAAGGGGGGUGAGUGAAACGGGGACACAUGAGGUGGAUGCAACAGCAAUAUUGUCAUUGGAAAUGUGAAACUAGAGUAAUUGUUGACAAAUGCCUAGGUGGUUUAGGUUAAUAGAACCAGGGUUUAUUGAUGACAUUAACGAUGUUUGUUGGCUCUGAGUUAACACCUCCCAGAGUCCACUGCCCGUGCAUGGAGAACAACUGGCGAGUAGCAGAGGAAAAUAGGGUUUGGUGAUGUAUGCCUACAUCACAUCCACAUUGUUUCUGAUGGAGUUUCACAAAAGCUAUGACUAAACUAAACAUCCUAAGCUUGAAGCUGUUAUGACUGUAUAUCCAUCUCUCUGUCCCGGUUUCUAUAAAACUCACCUCCAUUAUGAUGACAGAGUCAAUAGGACUCUCCCCUGAACGCAGAAGUAUCCUGUUCCUGGACUGUGUCUAAUUCCAGGAGAGGGUAAAACCAGAUCCAGAUCCAGGGGUCGAGCCAGGGAAGGUUCACCAAAGAGGGCCAGCACCAGAGACCAUCGACCUCCAACAACCCCACUUGUGCAGCUGCUAAAAGACGUGCAGCUGAGCGAGCAGGGGACGAUCCUGGCAGACCCCAUAGACCCCACACCCACACAGCAGAAUCCCCUUCCCGAGCAAACUGCUCGGUGAGGUAGAGGUAAGUGGGCUGACACGAGAUGUUUUAGGACAAGGGGGGAGCAAAGCAGAGUUCAUUGCAAUAUGAAUACCACAUGCCGUCACCUAGGUGAUCCACUUCAAGCUAAACCAAACCACAGAAAACCUCGAGGAGGCUCCUCGCAAGAGGCGGGCCUUCAAGUCUGAUGUAACGAUUGAUGCCAUAGGUCAGCCAAGGGGGGUGCCCAAUGACUUUAAAGCAAGAAAUGAGGUGGCGUCAGGGUUUGAGUCCAUCUUGCCCUGGAUAACGGUAAAUAAGAACACUGAAUGGAUUAAUUAUCUGUACUAUAAUCAGCAGCGCUUCAUUAACUAUACAGACGAGGCUCUCACCGCCCUGGGCCAGCAGCUGUCUUCAACAUCAGCAAUGACCUGGCAGAACCGACAGGUAUUGGACUGGCUGCUGGCGGAGCGUUUGCACUCUGAUUGGUCAGGUAUGUUGCACAUUCAUACCAAACAACACUGCCCCUACAGGAAGAUUUGCACAAGCUAUGACUGACUUAAAGGCACUGAGACAGGAGGUGAAGGAUAAUGCAGGACACAAGACUGAAUGGUUUGAACUGAUGAGGGAGAGCUUGGGAGAUUGGGGGUUUAGCUGGGUAAGAAUAGGGAUUGCAGUGCUGCUGACCUUAUUGGCCAUUGUAUUGAUUCUCUGCUGUUGCAUACCCAUCUUCCGGUCUCGUGUCAAAACCCACUAUGCCUGCCCCAUUGUAGCUAAGAUGAAGGAGUUGGAUGACUCACAUGCUUUUUCUCUGUUUAAGAGCAAGCCUUCUGCCCCGGACUUGUACCCUGUCCAGGUGGCGGAGGGACAAAGUGGCUGAAUGAUGUCCCAAACCAGGCCACACCGAGCGAUGCCAAAUCAGUCGAGCCGCUUCGGGGCCGUGGAACAUCGCUCAAUGAGUAUACCAAGCACAUAAUUUUGUUUGUUUUAUGAGUUUAAUUUUUGUUUUAUUAAUUGAGUGGUGUAUAUGUAACUCAGUGAUUUGUGCAUUAAUCAGUGUAGGUUUGUGGAGGACUGCCCUCCCAAACCCAUUUCUGUUGAAUCAUCCAUGGUUUCUCCCCCCUUAAAAGAGCGAGGCCUAAAAAGCCGGGGGGAGUUUUACUCCAGGAUCUGAUGAUACAGAGGAGCAAAGGCAAUUCUGAACAGAUAUUUGAGUACUGCAUAUGUUGUUGUAAACUUUAUGUGUAGACUUGAUGUUUGAUCAUAUACCAUCGUGUUUUUGUGAAACUGUGUUUGAGGGUCUGGGGGUAUUUACCUAGCCAAAGGAAGGUUAUAUACUCACACAUAUUGCAGGCUUACAACCAUAUGAGUAGACUGAGCCAAGGUUUCCCUCAGACUGGGGACCUUGUUUACACAACAUGAAUUUGGACAGUUUCAUUACAGGCAAACACUAGCUUACUAUUCUACCAUAUACUCGCCUAUUACUCAAAAGAAUUAAGGAAAAUUGGGUCUGAGGAGUUUUGUUUUUUUCAAUGUUUAAAUGUUUUACAGGCUACACAGAAAGAUAGAUUAUGGGAGGAGUAGUGUGGGCAAAAUGCCCACAAAGGGGGGAGUGUCGGGGGAUUUCUGAUGUAAGGUGACCUCAAGAAAGGAGUCAACUAGGACAGGGGUUAGAUGAGGAGAGGAAAUAGCCCACGUAGGGAACUAGGCCAGGAAAGAAGACUUGUUUAUCCCCAUGUUUAUCCCCAUGUAAGGAAUUAGGUGAGAGAGGAAGCUGUUUGGGUCCCAUGCUCGAUAAUGAGGAGAAGAGUGAGCUGGGAGAGUCACUCUCCCCCUCCCGUUAGAAUGUUCUUUUCAGAGAAGGAGUCAGGUCGGGAUGACCUGAUAGGGAAAUGUUGCUCGAGUGAGACCACGGGUUGUGCAAGAGGGACCACGGGUUGUGUAAGGACAGCCAAUUGAGGGAGGACAUCUGUUUAUCUUGAACAAACUGUGUGUUGUCUGAUAAUGGCCAAACAUAUUUGUGUGACGUAAUAAGACUGUAUAAAAGCUCUAGUCUGUCAAUGCAUGGUAGACUUCCCUGGCUAGAGAAGUUCUGCGCGUGAUUUCCAAUCUGCCUGGCAACAAUAAAGACAAAGACCUUUGCAAUCAA
Long non-coding RNA from Hypomesus transpacificus, 5784 nucleotides. RefSeq lists it as uncharacterized. Lineage: Eukaryota; Metazoa; Chordata; Actinopteri; Osmeriformes; Osmeridae. The transcript has 2 exons. The record is from RefSeq and is a predicted model, not a curated record.